RNAcentral lists this ribosomal RNA (855 nucleotides) under uncultured bacterium. RNAcentral's name for it is "bacterial SSU rRNA". It matches the Rfam family "Bacterial small subunit ribosomal RNA", at positions 94 to 954 of the family's 1533-position model. The record is from RNAcentral.
CACGGCGCACGGGUGCGUAACACGUGGGUAAUUUGCCCUCCGAUGGGGAAUAACCCCGGGAAACCGGGGCUAAUACCGCAUAACAUUCCUGGGACUUCGGUCUCGGGACUCAAAGCCGUAAGGCGUCGGAGGUGGAGCCCGCGCACGAUUAGCUAGUUGGUAGGGUAACGGCCUACCAAGGCUAUGAUCGUUAGCUGGUCUGAGGGGAUGGCCAGCCACACUGGAACUGAGACACGGUCCAGACUCCUACGGGAGGCAGCAGUGGGGAAUCUUGCGCAAUGGGCGAAAGCCUGACGCAGCGACGCCGCGUGGGGGAUGAAGCUUCUCGGAGUGUAAACCCCUUUCGACCGGGACGAAUGCCCGCAAGGGAGUGACGGUACCGGUAUAAGAAGCCCCGGCUAACUACGUGCCAGCAGCCGCGGUAAGACGUAGGGGGCCAGCGUUGUUCGGAAUUACUGGGUGUAAAGGGUUCGUAGGCGGUGUGGCAAGUCGGGAGUGAAAUCUCUGGGCUCAACUCAGGGGCUGCUUCCGAAACUGCUGUGCUAGAGUGUGGGAGAGGCGCGUGGAAUUGCAGGUGUAGCGGUGAAAUGCGUAGAUAUCUGCAGGAACACCCGUGGCGAAAGCGGCGCGCUGGACCACUACUGACGCUGAGGAACGAAAGCUAGGGGAGCAAACAGGAUUAGAUACCCUGGUAGUCCUAGCCCUAAACCAUCAGGACUUGGGGUGCCACCCGUUCGGGUGUCGUCCCGGAGCUAACGCGUUAAGUCCUGCACCUGGGGAGUACGGUCGCAAGACUGAAACUCAAAGGAAUUGACGGGGGCCCGCACAAGCGGUGGAACAUGUGGUUCAAUUCGA